ACGUGUAGAGCUAGCGUUGCUCGGAUUUACUGGGCUUAAAGGGUGUGUAGGCGGCUUUAUAAGUAAGGUGUGAAAUCCAACGGCUUACCCGUUGAACUGCACUUUAUACUGCAAAGCUUGAGGAUCGGAGAGGAUAGCGGAAUUCUGGGUGUAGCGGUGAAAUGCGUAGAUAUCCAGGAGAACGCCGGUGACGAAGGUGGCUAUCUGGCCGAUUACUGACGCUGAAACACGAAAGCUAGGGGAGCAAACGG
This 251-nucleotide ribosomal RNA is filed under the name uncultured prokaryote. RNAcentral's name for it is "partial 16S rRNA". It matches the Rfam family "Bacterial small subunit ribosomal RNA", at positions 525 to 775 of the family's 1533-position model. The record is from RNAcentral.